CUGCAGCUAAAAGCCAUUUUCCUUUACUUGUGGCAGCCCAGAAUGUGAUUGUUACAUACAUCAACCUCCUCAGUAGUGUAUGAAGCUAGCCUAUUGCUUGUAUGGGUUGCCGUAAGAGACCUCGGAGACAGUA
Small nucleolar RNA from Sciurus vulgaris (Eurasian red squirrel), 133 nucleotides. Its record names the gene SNORA70. It matches the Rfam family "Small nucleolar RNA SNORA70". From Rfam's summary of the family: snoRNA U70 seems to be exclusive to mammals and is a member of the H/ACA class of snoRNA which contain H (ANANNA) and ACA box motifs. NCBI's taxonomy places the organism in Eukaryota, Metazoa, Chordata, Mammalia, Rodentia, Sciuridae. The record is from Ensembl.